Molecule: ribosomal RNA, 498 nt
Filed under: uncultured bacterium
Lineage: Bacteria
Description: bacterial SSU rRNA
Rfam family: Bacterial small subunit ribosomal RNA
Source: RNAcentral
AAUCAACGCUGGCGGCGUGCCUCAGACAUGCAAGUCGAACGAGAAAGUCCCCUUCGGGGGAUAAGUAAAGUGGCGCACGGGUGAGUAACACGUAGGUAAUCUACCUUCGGGUGGGGAAUAACCCAGGGAAACUUGGGCUAACACCGCAUGAUGCAGCGGCACCACAUGGUGACAGUUGUUAAAGCGGGGGAUUUUAGGACCUCGCGCCUGAAGAGGAGCCUGCGGCGGAUUAGCUAGUUGGGAGGUAACGGCUCACCAAGGUCACGAUCCGUAGCCGGCCUGAGAGGGCGGUCGGCCACACUGACACUGACAUACGGGUCAGACUCCUACGGGAGGCAGCAGUCGGGAAUUUUGGGCAAUGGGCGAAAGCCUGACCCAGCAACGCCGCGUGAAGGAUGAAAUCCCUCGGGAUGUAAACUUCGCAAGAAUGGGAAGAAUUAGCGAGCGCUAAUACCGCUCGUGAUGACGGUACCAUUUGUAAGCUCCGGCUAACUCCGU